Molecule: ribosomal RNA, 253 nt
Filed under: uncultured bacterium
Lineage: Bacteria
Description: partial 16S ribosomal RNA
Rfam family: Bacterial small subunit ribosomal RNA
Source: RNAcentral
UACGAAGGAUGCAAGCGUUACUCGGAAUUACUGGGCGUAAAGCGUGCGUAGGUGGUUCGUUAAGUCUGAUGUGAAAGCCCUGGGCUCAACCUGGGAAUGGCAUUGGAAACUGGCGACCUAGAGUGCGGUAGAGGGUAGUGGAAUUCCCGGUGUAGCAGUGAAAUGCGUAGAGAUCGGGAGGAACAUCCGUGGCGAAGGCGACUACCUGGACCAGCACUGACACUGAGGCACGAAAGCGUGGGGAGCAAACAGG